UUCCUUUCGCGCCAUUCAAGUUCCGGCCCCUCGCCGGAUAAUAGGGAACACGGAAGGGCCACCCGGCCCCAGCCGUGGCUGCCCCCGCAACUGUAAGCGGCGAGCGACGCCAAUCUGGCCACUGGGAAACCGGGAAGGCAGGCGAAGCCGAGACCCGCGAGCCAGGAGACCUGCUUGAAUGAUCACCCUUUC
This 192-nucleotide non-coding RNA is filed under the name Paracoccaceae bacterium. The record is from RNAcentral. Lineage: Bacteria; Pseudomonadati; Pseudomonadota; Alphaproteobacteria; Rhodobacterales; Paracoccaceae.